GCGGAGGAAAAGAAACCAACAGGGAUUGCCUCAGUAACGGCGAGUGAAGCGGCAACAGCUCAAAUUUGAAAUCUGGUCACCUUACGGAGGCCCGAGUUGUAAUUUGAAGAGGAUGCUUUUGGCGAGGUGCCUUCCGAGUGCCCUGGAACGGGACGCCACAGAGGGUGAGAGCCCCGUAUGGUUGGACACCGAGCCUAUGUAAAGCUCCUUCGACGAGUCGAGUAGUUUGGGAAUGCUGCUCAAAAUGGGAGGUAAACCCCUUCUAAAGCUAAAUAUUGGCCAGAGACCGAUAGCGCACAAGUAGAGUGAUCGAAAGAUGAAAAGCACUUUGAAAAGAGAGUUAAAAAGCACGUGAAAUUGUUGAAAGGGAAGCGCUUGCGACCAGACUUGCGCCCGUCGGAUCAACCGUCGCUUGUCGGCGGCUCACUCCGGCGGGCUCAGGCCAGCAUCAGUUUUCCCGGGGGGAGAAAGGCGGUGGGAAUGUGGCUCUUCGGAGUGUUAUAGCCCGCCGC
RNAcentral lists this ribosomal RNA (512 nucleotides) under Acaulium acremonium. RNAcentral's name for it is "eukaryotic LSU rRNA". It matches the Rfam family "Eukaryotic large subunit ribosomal RNA", at positions 50 to 565 of the family's 3401-position model. Lineage: Eukaryota; Fungi; Ascomycota; Sordariomycetes; Microascales; Microascaceae. The record is from RNAcentral.